CUACGGGAGGCAGCAGUAGGGAAUAUUGGACAAUGGAGGAAACUCUGAUCCAGCCAUCCCGCGUGAAGGAUUAAGGUCCUAUGGAUUGUAAACUUCUUUUCUCUGAGAAUAAAAACUUCGAUUCAUCGGAGCUUGAAGGUAUCAGGGGAAUAAGCACCGGCUAACUCCGUGCCAGCAGCCGCGGUAAUACGGAGGGUGCAAGCGUUAUCCGGAUUCACUGGGUUUAAAGGGUGCGUAGGUGGUUUUGUAAGUCAGUGGUGAAAGCCUGUAGCUUAACUAUAGAAUUGCCAUUGAUACUGCUUAACUUGAAUCAAGUCGAGGUGGAUGGAAUAAAUCAUGUAGCGGUGAAAUGCUUAGAUAUGAUUUAGAACACCAAUUGCGAAGGCAGUUCACUAGAUUUGUAUUGACACUGAGGCACGAAAGCGUGGGGAUCAAACAGGAUUAGAUACCCCAGUAGUCC
RNAcentral lists this ribosomal RNA (460 nucleotides) under uncultured bacterium. RNAcentral describes it as "bacterial SSU rRNA". It matches the Rfam family "Bacterial small subunit ribosomal RNA", at positions 339 to 796 of the family's 1533-position model. The record is from RNAcentral.